CUUGCAUAUUAUUCCAUGGAAUCUUUUUUGCUUGUGGAUUAAUUCCUCAUUUGUUUAAAUUUGCAUACUGAUCCCUAACAUUACAUCUAUUAGACAUUAUUUCCAGGGGAUAGAGAGUUCACCAAAGGGAUGAACAGAAAUAUUCAUCCAACCACUGUUAACUUAAGCCAAGGGCUAUAUAUGCAAAUAGGAAUUAUAC
Molecule: long non-coding RNA, 199 nt
Filed under: Elaeis guineensis (African oil palm)
Lineage: Eukaryota; Viridiplantae; Streptophyta; Magnoliopsida; Arecales; Arecaceae
Description: long non-coding RNA (EGUI_LNC000661)
Source: RNAcentral